RNAcentral lists this ribosomal RNA (254 nucleotides) under uncultured bacterium. RNAcentral describes it as "partial 16S ribosomal RNA". It matches the Rfam family "Bacterial small subunit ribosomal RNA", at positions 524 to 776 of the family's 1533-position model. The record is from RNAcentral.
CACGUAGGGGGCAAGCGUUGUCCGGAUUCAUUGGGCGUAAAGAGCUCGUAGGCGGUUCGAUAAGUCGGGUGUGAAACCUCCAGGCUCAACCUGGAGACGCCACCCGAUACUGUCGUGACUAGAGUCCAGUAGGGGAGCGUGGAAUUCCUGGUGUAGCGGUGAAAUGCGCAGAUAUCAGGAGGAACACCAGCGGCGAAGGCGGCGCUCUGGGCUGGCACUGACGCUGAGACGCGAAAGCGUGGGGAGCAAACAGG